Molecule: ribosomal RNA, 253 nt
Filed under: uncultured bacterium
Lineage: Bacteria
Description: partial 16S ribosomal RNA
Rfam family: Bacterial small subunit ribosomal RNA
Source: RNAcentral
UACAGAGGGGGCAAGCGUUGUUCGGAAUUACUGGGCGUAAAGGGCGCGUAGGCGGCAAUUCAAGUCAUCUGUGAAAUCUCCGGGCUUAACUCGGAACGGUCAGAUGAUACUGCUUUGCUCGAGUGCGGAAGGGGCAAUCGGAAUUCUUGGUGUAGCGGUGAAAUGCGUAGAUAUCAAGAGGAACACCUGAGGUGAAGACGGGUUGCUGGGCCGACACUGACGCUGAAGCGCGAAAGCCAGGGGAGCAAACGGG